Molecule: ribosomal RNA, 465 nt
Filed under: uncultured bacterium
Lineage: Bacteria
Description: partial 16S ribosomal RNA
Rfam family: Bacterial small subunit ribosomal RNA
Source: RNAcentral
GACGAACGCUGGCGGCGUGCUUAACACAUGCAAGUCGAACGGAAAGGCCCUGCUUGCAGGGUACUCGAGUGGCGAACGGGUGAGUAACACGUGGGUGAUCUGCCCUGCACUUCGGGAUAAGCCUGGUAAACUGGGUCUAAUACCUGAUAGGAGCCAUUUUUAGUGUGAUGGUUGGAAAGUUUUUUCGGUGUAGGAUGAGCUCGCGGCCUAUCAGCUUGUUGGUGGGGUAAUGGCCUACCAAGGCGGCUACGGGUAGCCGGACUGUGAGGGUGGACGGCCACACUGGGACUGAGAUACGGCCCAGACUCCUACGGGAGGCAGAAGGGGGGAAUAUUGAACAAUGGGCGCAAGCCUGAUGCAGAGACGCCGCGUGGGGGAUGACGGUCUUAGGGUUGUAAACUAAUUUCGCUAGGGACGAAGCUUUUUGUGACGGUACCUAGAUAAGAAGCACCGGCUAACUACGUG